UUUUGGACAAUGGGCGAAAGCCUGAUCCAGCCAUUCCGCGUGAGUGAAGAAGGCCUUCGGGUUGUAAAGCUCUUUCGCAACGGAAGAAAACUUAGGCGCUAAUAUCGCUUGAGGUUGACGGUACCUUGAUAAGAAGCACCGGCUAACUACGUGCCAGCAGCCGCGGUAAUACGUAGGGUGCGAGCGUUAAUCGGAAUUACUGGGCGUAAAGCGUGCGCAGGCGGUUUUGUAAGUCAGAUGUGAAAUCCCCGAGCUCAACUUGGGAACUGCGUUUGAAACUAUAAGACUAGAAUAUGUCAGAGGGGGGUAGAAUUCCACGUGCAGCAGUGAAAUGCGUAGAGAUGUGGAGGAAUACCAAGGCGAAAGCAGCCCCCUGGGAUAAUAUUGACGCUCAUGCACGAAA
RNAcentral lists this ribosomal RNA (403 nucleotides) under uncultured bacterium. RNAcentral describes it as "bacterial SSU rRNA". It matches the Rfam family "Bacterial small subunit ribosomal RNA", at positions 362 to 758 of the family's 1533-position model. The record is from RNAcentral.